This 472-nucleotide ribosomal RNA is filed under the name uncultured bacterium. Its description in RNAcentral is "bacterial SSU rRNA". It matches the Rfam family "Bacterial small subunit ribosomal RNA", at positions 31 to 518 of the family's 1533-position model. The record is from RNAcentral.
GAACGCUGGCGGCGUGCUUAACACAUGCAAGUCGAACGAUGAACCACUUCGGUGGGGAUAGUGGCGAACGGGUGAGUAACACGUGGGCAAUCUGCCCUGCACUCUGGGACAAGGCCCUGGAAACGGGGUCUAAUACCGGAUACUGAUCAUCUUGGGCAUCCUUGGUGAUCGAAAGCUCCGGCGGUGCAGGAUGAGCCCGCGGCCUAUCAGCUUGUUGGUGAGGUAACGGCUCACCAAGGCGACGACGGGUAGCCGGCCUGAGAGGGCGACCGGCCACACUGGGACUGAGACACGGCCCAGACUCCUACGGGAGGCAGCAGUGGGGAAUAUUGCACAAUGGGCGAAAGCCUGAUGCAGCCGACGCCGCGUGAGGGAUGACGGCCUUCGGGUUGUAAACCUCUUUCAGCAGGGAAGAAGCGAAAGUGACGGUACCUGCAGAAGAAGCGCCGGCUAACUACGUGCCAGCAGCCGC